Molecule: long non-coding RNA, 9907 nt
Organism: Gasterosteus aculeatus aculeatus (three-spined stickleback)
Lineage: Eukaryota; Metazoa; Chordata; Actinopteri; Perciformes; Gasterosteidae
Source: Ensembl
CAAUCUUUCAGCUACAGACACCAUUUAAACUUUCAAAUGUUGACACAAGUCUAAACUAUUUUAUGAAAAAAACUGCUUCUUGAUAUCUAUUGUACUUUUUUCAUAAUCACUGAUUAUGUUUCACUAGUUCUUCGCUCCGUUUCUGACUUUUACAUGAGUGUGUAUUGCGUCUGCUAGAGUGGAGAGCUCCAGGGCUAGAGUGUGGGGCAUCGCAGGAAUCUGGUUAAAAAAAGAUGGAACUUCUGUCCUUGCAGCCAAAGUAUACACUCUAGAGGCUUCAUUUCUUCAGAUUAAUGAGGGUAUGGUUGUGCUGAUUGGAUUAAUGCGUUCAUGGAAUCCCAGAGUUUUUUAGUUUUGGCGCAAGGAGUGUUUGAGUGACACAACCUCUGCCAAAAGCCCCAUAGGCUCCAAUACAAAUCUGCCGACAUAUUUCUCACAAAAAUCCACAAGGUACACGUUUUGUCAACGGCCAUAGGAGCCGUAUUUAUUACCGGACAGACAUAAAAACACAUCCACGCGUUCGGUAGAGUCUUGGGUCUCAUACAAACGUAGUAUUUUUUAGAUAGCUGUUAUAGUUUUGCGCUGGUUCCCAUUUGUUUGAGGUGUGGAUUCUGUGUAACUUGCUGCCAUGUCUCUGCGUUUUGCAGCCGCACAGGUGCGUCGUUGUCGUGGUUACGAGCACUCACACGCUGCAGGAUCUGUCUGUGGCUCACAGCUGCUCCUAUGACCUGAUUAGUGGAGUCACAUGACGCAGCUAUGCUUUCUGUCAACAGACCAAUAUGAUAAAGACACUCGCCCCCCUCCCCCCUCCACCCUGACCUCUUCUCACUGUUAAUCACUCAGUCAGUCAGUCUGUCUGUCUAUUUCUCCUCCUCUCUCUCUCCCUCUAUCUCUUCCUCGCCACCCCUCCCUUCCUCACCCUCCCUCCCUCUAUCUACACCCCCCCACCCCACCCAAUCCAAUAAUUUCAAAAAAAAAGCCCCAUGGAGGGAAUUCUUACUGUAAUGUUUUUGAUGAGGCCUAUCGAUUGAUAACGUCAUAGUUUGAAGGACACAUAAUAUAAAAUGUAUGAAUAUUAUACUGAAUUACCUGUGAGGGUGACAGAAAUAAGAUGUCAGUGUUAUUUACUGCUUUUUUAGUGCUGGAAUAAAUUAUACCCAACUGCAAGGUACUAAUGCUUUUGAUUCCCCUUAUUGUUUUUAUUAACUAAUACUUGAAUGUUUGCUGAAAUUGAUUGGAUGGUCCUAUAGGAAGUGUUCCACCAGCCAUCAUUGCUAAAGGGGAUAAGAAACCUCUACUGAAAAUAAGUCACAUACAGCAUUCAAAAUGAACAGUAACGGACAACAUUGCUACGGUUGAAUAUUUAUUGCAACAAAUAACAAUUAUAAACAAGCGUAAAAAAAACAAUUGAACAUAAGUAACAAGUCAAAACAAAAUGAACAACAAAAUGAACACAUAACUAAUACAUUAUGAACACAAUCUUAUAAACAUAUACAUUUUAUAACAGUAGAAAUUUUAAUUUUUCGCCACUUCAAUCGCCUGCACCUUGUUUCCUGUCAUUUUAAUUUGAACUUUUAUCACGGGUUCAAUCAUGACAAGUUCGAUUGGCUCCCACAAUCUCUCCUCAAUUAAGACGGUACGGCCGUCUUCCAGAAGAAGGUUGAGGUUCCCCGGAUCUCCCUCAAUCUCCAUCACCCCGAGUGCCCCCACGAUGUCCUCUGAGCGUACCUCCUUUUGAGAGAAAAGUAGACAUUAUCCCGCUGUCAGCCGCAAUCCAGAGCAAUCAUUAUCGUUUUUAAGCAGGCAAAUAAAAUAACCCCAGCACGGAGGCAUUGCAUUAUAAUUUAUUCAACUUUUUUUUUUAAAUAGCCACUUCAAAUUUAACAUAACAUCACCCAAUCAAACUUUGCUGUUGAAGCCAGAUAGUGUAAAGAUUGUCUAAAAAGUUUGUUUCAAUUUCAUAAAAAAACAAGUAGGCCUACCUCGAUGGUGGAAAAGUUUGUGGACUGGAGUCUGAGCCCAUAGUUAGACCUUCCAGCUUUAAGAUGGGAAACUUUAAUGUGGGCCCCCACCUGCAGCUGCCAUACGGCCGCCUCCCUCCAGAAACACAGCGACAUCUGUGAUUCCCCCUGUAGAAGGUAAUGUGAAAUAAUAUUUUAAUUACUUUAAUUCUCUUUCUUUCUCUCUCUCUCUCUAUAUAUAUAUAUAUAUAUAUGAGAGAGAGAGAGAGAUUAUAUAUAUAUGUGUCUGAGGACUCUUAUGAAGGCAAAUCACUGUCAAAAUAAAUCCAUAUCAAACAUUCGCGGGCAAAAGUCCAUCUCGCGCAGCAAAAGUUGGCGAAUGUUUCAUGUGUGCGCGAGCAUGGAUUUUUGCCCGCAAAUGUUUGAUAUGGAUUUGGAUUUUUGACAGUUAUUUGCCUUCAUACGAUAUAUGUAGCGUAAUUACUCAGCUAUCUAAAUUAAUAAAUACAUUUUAUUAUAUAUAUGUAUGUAUGAAUGAAGUGGACUGCCUACCUGCUGCAUCGUGACGUUCCGCAAUGGAACGACGUCUCUCCCUGUCGUGACUUCUUUUAAAGCUGACAGCUGAACAAAAUUAAUGUUUCAGUUAAUUGACAUUUUAUACCAAUUUGCAGCUAAUAUUAAACCUGUUUCCUUUUUAAACCACUGUAGGCUGAAACUUAAUUUACCUCGACCACCUCGCCCUCCACGGUUAUAAGGCCCCUGGCUUCCCGGCAGGUGCUCAGCGGAGUCAGUGGAGAGGGGGGGUGUAUUAGAAGCUCUGCUUCACGUUUGAGCGCUGCGCUGAGCGCUAUAGGAGCGCUCCUAAAGAACAGCGUGUCCUUGGUAAUGUUUAAUUGAUAUGGGGGGGACUGCCCUCUCAGAGACAGCCCCUUCACAUUAUAACUGCCACCCUCCUUAAAUCUUUUUCCAAACUCCUCGAAUACAGUGACCUUGGCCACUGAAUCCCCAUCUGUUAAUGCGGCCAGAAUAUUCAUUUUAGUCUGUGCUGGUCUCGCACCAUUUGCGUCAAACUCCCAGGCCACCACCCUGGGCUGCUCCACCACCAACACCACACAUAGGUGGAUUGGCGGGGGGCGAAAAUAGGGUGUUGGAGGCUUUGUUGUCAAAAGCGUCUUUAAUGCCAUUCUGAAAUAUUAAAAUAAACACAAAGCAUUAAGAAAAAGCUAUGUAGUAGGUUAGUACACAUUAUUUUCUAAAACGUUUCUUUUAUUUCAUAUUGUGUUGCUUCAUUAGUAUAUGGUUAUCACAAACGUAUAAGGUUAAUAUAUAUUGGAUUAAAGAGAGCAUUACGUUUGCCUAAAACGCUAAACUGCAUUAAAAAAUUGAUGACCACUAUUUGGAAAUCGCUUUUGCUAACCAAGAUAAUCUAUCCAACCGCUAGCUUAAACAUUUUAAACAACUCUAGUCACUUAAUUGUUUCUUUUGUUAAAAAGGGUUAUACUUAUAGGGUUAUACAAUAUAAAUACUCAAUUAAUGUCAGUUAUUCUUCAUAUUCUUCAUUUUCUUAUCUCAUUUAGAGAGGAACAAACUUACUUCUCUGUCAGCUUUCACAGGACUGAGGCAAAUCACCGACUUUUGCUUGCGCGAGAUGGACUUUUGCCCGCGAAAUUUUUAUAUGGAUUUUUGACAGUGAUUUUGACAGUGAUGAGUUCAAAAGCGCUCCGAUGAUGUCGGAAAUAAUGGCUGAUGACGUAAGUGUUUGCCUGAUACACCGCGUAGGAGCUUAAUGUUGCUAUUUCCAAAACUAGAUUUAACAAGGUAAUAGUGUCACAAAUUAGUCUCGUAUUAUGUACUAAAAAAUCAUUAGUGAAUUCAUAUUAUGCCUUAGGAAAACAUUACUUAAUCAACUUUUCACAUUUCAAGAAUUAACCACAUGUAUUGACCAUAUCUUGUUGUCAAUUUAUCAGCUUAAACUAUAGUAUCUCGCUGAUGAUACGAGUGCUCUUAAAGGACAACUAUAGAUUUAAUAAAAUGCAUUAUGACAGCUGAGGAAUUAAGCUUUGAGGUUUGUUUGGUACAGUUUCUAUCGAACCCGGCAUUUUGAGAGCGUAAUGUCCAAAUGUUCCUGAAUGCAUCAAUCAAAUCUAACGUCACAUCAACGCAUCUCCGUCAAAUUCCUCUGAAGUCUUGACCGGUAAGUACCGCUGAGCCGCGGGUCUAAGGGCUCAUAGUUUGGAUGGUGUAAUGACAGUUAUAUAGUUGUGAAACGGCGUUGUCGUCCGUUUGUAACCCGUGCAGUAUGUGUACACUAAUGAAAGAGUGAAAUAUUCCCUGUGUAUGUCAACGCCAAAACGUGGCUAACAAUAGCAUAGCCGCUAAGCUAGCGGCACAUUAGUAUGACAAAUAUGUAACGGUAUUAAGUUAUGUGCUGAACUGGCAUGAACUGGUUAGUUGGGUAACUAACUUGGUUAGCUAACUAACGUUUCAGUUAAUAUGGAUACAGUCUGCGCUAUAGCCUUUAUGUUAUCGUGGUUUAACGUUAAGUCACGGGUUCAUUUGUGUGCCAUAUGAGGGAAAUAUUUCGUCUAUUAGUGUCAUAGUUCAUUAUAAGGAAGGAAGCGAUUUAAAUUCAUUCGUAACGUUUAUUAAGCAAUAAGGUACAAGAGGCUGUACAUAAAGUACUGCCUCGAGUACCUCAUUGCUGAUACUAACGUCGUUCAAACCGUUACUCUUAGUGCGCAGUGAUAUGAAACAAGAACUGUACAUCGCUCAAUAAUGUGCACCACGUGACUCACGGUCAACCAAUCAGAGCGCUGCAUUAAAUCAACAGUAUUAUAACACGAGAUAAUGCUGACUUAAAGUAUGUUCAUUGACAAAUUGGUUAAAAUUGCAAGGGUUUUGUCAGUUUGUGUUGACUAGUUGGUUGGCAUUAGCUACUAGUUAGCUGGUUAGCGUUACUUUGCUCGCUGCCAAAUUAGUCCGCCAACUGAUGAAAUUGCCACGGCCUAUUUUUAGCAUUAGGCCUACGUAGAAGUUAGCAUGUGGUAACCACGGGAAUAUUUCACUCCUCCAUUCAUGUCUGAAUUAUGGAUAAGUUACAAAUCCGAUGUCAAUAGCAUUUAAAGUAGUUUGUCUUUUGAGAAACAUAAUUAACUAUGUUGGUAAUAUGGAACAGCGGUAAUCUACUUCUCUCUCUAUGUAAUAAUUUCCUAUGGUGUUUUGUUUAAAGGCUGAAAGUUUGAACCUUCUUAAUGUCAUUUUGUCAUAUUGUUUCCUCUCUUAGACAACAGAGCAUCCUCCUUAUCUGCAUUGUGUUUGACCAUAACGGCUGGUGACUCUAAAGUGCAAGUUCACACAUCAAUUCAGAUAUUGCUCCUGCCAGUGUUGGUGACUCCAUGGAUAUUUGACAGUGUCCUGCUGUCCAGCAUCUCUCCUCCUCUAUCCCAUUGGCUCUCUGUCUCUCCUAUACCUUGUAUCCACUCUGUCUACAAUUUGAUAACUCUAGCUUUCCUGUCAAAUCUACCGCUCUGUCUGAUUUUGGAAACUCUAUCUUUGUAUCCCUCUUCUAUCCCACUCUAUCUGUAUACAGAAGCCUGAAAACCCUGAUAUUCUGAAACCUGAACCCUGAACCCUGAAACCUGAACCUAAGGUUAUUGCAACCUGUCUGAACAGAACUCUGAGAGUAUCUCCACUCUCCCGCUCUCUGUCUCUCCUCUGAACACUCACUCACCCGGGUUAUUGGUACCUGAUCUACCUUUUUGAAUGAUCUGAGAGAUUCUCUUCUCUCACUCUCACCUCUCUCCUAUCAACUCCUAUAUUUAUACAAUACUAUUACUGUUUUUACUAAUUUGACAAAACAUUUGAAAUUUACUAUUAAUGAGAUUAACAAAAUUUGCCUGAACAAAGAAUUGAAAAGUUAAUUCAGAAGCUAAAAAAACAUAAAAUACAAAUCUUUUUGUUAUAAUUGAAAAAACUACACCAUGAUCCAAAGAAUUGUAUUGUAAAAAAGUACUCUUUAUAAUUGAAUCAGGUAGAUUUCCUGAUACACUAUUUGCAAAAGUGCAUUGAAUUAACAUAAUUAAAGACAACUGCACUCUGAUAUAUAAUAAAAUACAUAACUAUUACAAAUCCAUAUUAGAGAAGUGUAUUUGCUCCUGAUCGCUGUUGCUGUGCACCUGUUGGUUUGUACUCAAAGGUUUGUUUUGUGAGCAAACACUGUUGUUAACUUGAUUAGUCUACGUACAAGGAGAAAUAAUUCCGCUACAUGCAUUGUAUCAAUUAUACCUAAUUAAUGAAUACAUAAUUUUUUUCUUAUAAACUUACAUUGUGCAUAUCAGUGUUUUGUUGUUUAUACUGAAAUAAAACACAGACGUCAACCAGGAGGAAGUGGAUUCAUCAGGAGUGGCUGUUUCCUGCUGAUCCAACGUUCUUCAGAACCAUCCAUCUGUCAUCACACUCCCACAACAACUGCUCCCGAAUAUAAACAAUAGCCGAAUAAAGUAUUAAGAUAAUUUCUACCAGUAAAUUUAGCCAUCUGAAAUCUGAAGGGCCCUUUCAGUCAGCUGCUUUCACUCAACUGCUUCCAAGUUGUGUGUUUGUGGUAGACUUCAGUUUUUACAUUGAUUAUAUAUUUCCACAGAUAAGUCAAGGUCUCAGUAAGCAAUAUCUAUUACAUAUUAAAUACCAUCGGUCACUUUAGUACAUGGUACUUUAUUUACGCAGACAGACAUACUAAGACCUGAUUGCAGUAUUCAAAUCUAGAAGUGCUUUGUCUAGACCCUCAUAUAUUAGAAUACGUCAGCUGGAUAAUUUCAUUGUGUUUUUUAUAUUAAAACUAUAAAAUAAUCCUUCAGGUUGCUGUCACUGAAUUUGACGUUCAAAUAUAAUAUAUUUAUCUAUAUUGAAAAGUGUUAUUUAUUCAUGUUUUGAAAAGCGUACGCCCAAACUGAGUUAAUUUUUCAUUCAUAAGUGUUUUUGAUUUAUAGCAGCAAGCAGGUUUAAUCCAUCUUCAAAUCCUUGUUCGUUAAAAGUAAUAUUUUACUUAUUGCAUUUAAUAUCUUGGUUUUGUACAUUUGUGGUUUUGAAACAUCAACAAUGCCAAGGAAGAGUAAGAGGUCACAAGCUCAGAGCCUGCGCUGGCAGCGGCCCAAUGAGAAUCCCUUUGCAACAACGACUGAAGGAGCAGAAUGUGUUGGUCCUGAGAGCAGUGAAGAGGUAAAGAUGUCUGCAGAGUGUAAACGUGUGGAGCAGGAAGGUCAGCCUGAUGCUUCAUGUGCACCACCACCAUCUUAUGCAGAUGCUGUAAAGAGAGGACAGCACAGUGAUGAUCCAUGUGUAGCAGGACCUUCUAAUGUGCACCAGGUGAACCAGAGAUGUCAGCCUGAUGCUUCGUGCAUACCACGGGUUUCAGAUACUAUAAAGAGAGGACAAGCCAGUAAAGAACCAUGUGCAGCAGGACCUUCUAAUGCAGACCGUGUAGACCCUGGAGAUCAGCCUUCUGAACAACAUGUCCGUGCAUCCCGCAGCCAGGCUUCUAUCAGAUACGGCAGAUCCAGAAAUCGGCAGUGCACCUGUAACUCACUGACCUUUCUUGCAUUCCUCCAUGAGAAUGAAAGCAUCACCAGAGCAGACCUGGACCAUGUUUUGGAUAAAGGUAACACGAUGUAUAGAGAGACCAGGAAACAAGUCACUAAUCACAUCUAUCUGACCACCGAUGAGCUUACUGAUGAAGUUCCUGCACGCAGCGCUACACACCAUGCAGACAUGACUCAGCUUUCAAGGUACGGCACAUUAGGAGAACCUUUACCUGGAGCUGUGGACAGCUUUCUGGACCUGGAGUCAGGACUCAGCUGCUUGUUGUCAGAUGUGAAGUACGCUCUGCUGUUGAUGAGACUCUUGUGUAUCGCAGUGUUCAGAACCAAGUCGGGCAGAUACGGUUUCUUUGACCCACACUCCAGAACAGCCAGAGGUUUGCCCCUACCAGCCGGUUCACGCACACCAGGUACUGCUGUCAUGGUGACAUUCUCACGUCUCAGUGACAUGAUUGACAGGCUCAAGAAGUCCCACAGAAUGAUGGACACACAGUCCUCCUGUAACUAUGAGUUAAAGCCUGUGGAGUUCUACAAUGUGAACACAGUCAACCUGAACGGUGGUCUCCCAAACACAGACUGCAGACCUACAGCUGUCCCUGUGGAUGAAUCAAACUCACCUAUAGCCACUGAUCAGACCAGUUCACCUGAAACGACUCCUCACACUCCAGCUGUAAAUCAACCAGAGGUCCUCAUCACAACAUCAUCACAUGAUGCUCCUCACACUGAAUCAGAAUCAACCGCUCAAGUGAUAAACCCUGUUCUCAGUGAUCCAUCUGACGACAUAUUGACAGCAGAGUCCAGUGACAUCAUCUUUACAUCAUCGGUGAGACAACAAGAGGUCAUAAACUCCAAUGAACCAGAACUGUCAACUAAAUCCACUUUCCUUCCAUCACAUGAUGCUUCUCUCAAUGAACCAAGUAUUUCUUCUUCAGUAGCAAAUACUGUUGCCAGUGAUCUAUCUGAUGUUCUAUUACAGGGAAUCUCAUGCAAACUGACAAAGUGUGAUAAAAACAAAAGGAGAAAAAUGAAGAGAAGACUGAUCAUCUCAGAGAAAACUCAACAAAGACAAGAGAGUAAAAAAAGGAAAGAAAGGGAAAAGUAUGCUUCAAAUAAAGCAUUUAAAACAGAAAAAAAAUCUCAUGCAAAAAGCAAAUAUCAGAACAACCCUGAAUUUAGACAAAAGAAAAUCAAUAAUACAAGAGACAACGUUGACUUUCAACAAAAACGGAAAGAGUACAUUUCAAACAGGUACAGAGAAAAUGCUGAUUUUAGACAGAAAAAAAAACAAAUCUUUGUCUCUCGUUACAGAAAUAAUCCUGAUUUUAGAGAGAAGAAAAAACAGCACUUUACGAACCGCUACCGAGACAAUGCUGAGUUUAGAAAGGGAAAAAAACUGUCCUUCACUGCUUUUUAUAAAAACAACAUUGAUUUUAGACAAAAGAAGAGAGAAAAAGAGAGAUCUCACAUUAUUCAGCGAUACGCUCAUGACCAGGCAUUCAGGCUGAGACACAAACAACUAAUGAAACAACGAAUGAAAGACAGAUACAAAAACAAUCCUACAUAUAAGAGUAUGCGGAACAUGAGAUGUGCCAUGAAAAUAAAAAGGAAAUACAGACAGAUAAAUAAACCGAUAGAAGAAAGUGACAACAGUUUGAUCAAAGAGGCCAUAUCUGUUUUCAGGUCACAAAUAAAGUCCGGUCCCACUUAUGUUUGCACCGUCUGUCACAAAGCAUCAUUUCCAAACCAAGUGAAACCCUGUAAAAGGUUAAACUAUGUACGAAAUCCAGACGUGGCUGCAGCAUGCCUGACAGGAAAGUACGUCCAUGUGUGUGAUGAUGAGUGCAGAGAUGAACAACAGUGUAAUGUGCCUGAUGAGAGAAAGGAAGAGUGGAUCUGUCACACCUGCCACAAUCAUCUUAAAGAUGGAGUCAUGCCGACACUCGCUGUAGCCAACAACUUGGAGCUCGCUGACAUUCCACCUGAACUGUGUGACCUCAACAUAUUGGAGCGACAUCUCAUAGCCAAGUGCAUAGCGUUUGCAAAGAUUAUUCCUCUUCCCAAAGGACGCCAGAGAGCGAUACAUGGCAACGUGGUUUGUGUCCCGUCUGAGGUGCAGGAAACAGUGGAAGCGUUACCCAGACUGAGAAGUGAGUCUCAAGUGAUGAGAGUAAAGCUGAAGAGACGAUUGUGUUACAGAGGACAUCAGCUGUUCCAGACUGUCACCUGGUCUAAACUAGUGCAGGCGCUGCAUAUACUCAAACGCAUUCAUCCACAAUAUCAGGACAUCCCUAUCAGAGAUGAGGCCGAGCUUUGUGACCCAACACUUCCUGAUGAAGAUGACGAUGAUGAUGAGGA